RNAcentral lists this transfer RNA (71 nucleotides) under Candidatus Azambacteria bacterium RIFCSPHIGHO2_01_FULL_44_55. RNAcentral describes it as "tRNA-Gly". It matches the Rfam family "tRNA". From Rfam's summary of the family: Transfer RNA (tRNA) molecules are approximately 80 nucleotides in length. Their secondary structure includes four short double-helical elements and three loops (D, anti-codon, and T loops). The record is from RNAcentral. Lineage: Bacteria; Candidatus Azamiibacteriota. RNAcentral also lists the same sequence under 3 other names.
GCGGGUGUCGUAUAAUGGCAAUAUGUGUCCUUCCCAAGGAUAAGACACGGGUUCGAUUCCCGUCAUCCGCU